AUCUUAUCAUGAGUGGUGGAGGGACUGGCCCUACGAAACCCGGCAACCGUCCAAAUUGGAUUGGUGCUAAUUCCUGCAGAACAAUAGGUUUCUGCAAGAUAAGAG
Molecule: non-coding RNA, 105 nt
Filed under: Pontibacillus marinus
Lineage: Bacteria; Bacillati; Bacillota; Bacilli; Caryophanales; Bacillaceae
Also listed under: 1 other name
Description: SAM-I sequence
Rfam family: SAM riboswitch aptamer (S box leader)
About the family: The SAM riboswitch is found upstream of a number of genes which code for proteins involved in methionine or cysteine biosynthesis in Gram-positive bacteria.
Source: RNAcentral